RNAcentral lists this long non-coding RNA (216 nucleotides) under Elaeis guineensis (African oil palm). Its description in RNAcentral is "long non-coding RNA (EGUI_LNC066347)". Lineage: Eukaryota; Viridiplantae; Streptophyta; Magnoliopsida; Arecales; Arecaceae. The record is from RNAcentral.
UGGAGGGUUGGAGAGCCAGUAAAUCUACAUACAUGAAGAAUGGAGCUCGUCAGUUGUCUCUAAUUGCUUGGCCUCAAAUAAAAUGGGGAACCUAUUCAUUGCAACGCUCCUCGAAGCUCAUCAUGUUGGGAGAAUCUCUCAGAGUGCGGAAUACGGAUUCUCCACCCAAGAUCGCUAACACUGGUGAUGAUGUCAAUAUCGCAAUAGGAAGAAAGA